UUCCAGACUCCUACGGGAGGCAGCAGUGAGGAAUAUUGGUCAAUGGGCUUACGCCUGAACCAGCCAAGUCGCGUGAGGGAAGACUGCCCUAUGGGUUGUAAACCUCUUUUGUCAGGGAGCAAUUGGCGCUACGUGUAGCGUUAUCGAGAGUACCUGAAGAAAAAGCAUCGGCUAACUCCGUGCCAGCAGCCGCGGUAAUACGGAGGAUGCGAGCGUUAUCCGGAUUUAUUGGGUUUAAAGGGUGCGUAGGCGGAAUGCCAAGUCAGCGGUAAAAUGUCCGGGCUCAACCCGGGCCGGCCGUUGAAACUGGGGAUCUUGAGUGGGCGAGAAGUAUGCGGAAUGCGUGGUGUAGCGGUGAAAUGCAUAGAUAUCACGCAGAACUCCGAUUGCGAAGGCAGCAUACCGGCGCCCGACUGACGCUGAGGCACGAAAGCGUGGGGAUCGAACAGGAUUAGAUACCCCGGUA
RNAcentral lists this ribosomal RNA (466 nucleotides) under uncultured bacterium. RNAcentral describes it as "bacterial SSU rRNA". It matches the Rfam family "Bacterial small subunit ribosomal RNA", at positions 329 to 792 of the family's 1533-position model. The record is from RNAcentral.